Molecule: ribosomal RNA, 446 nt
Filed under: uncultured bacterium
Lineage: Bacteria
Description: partial 16S ribosomal RNA
Rfam family: Bacterial small subunit ribosomal RNA
Source: RNAcentral
CCUACGGGUGGCAGCAGUCGAGAAUCAUUCACAAUGGGGGAAACCCUGAUGGUGCGACGCAGCGUGGGGGAAUGAAGGUCUUCGGAUUGUAAACCCCUGUCAUGUGGGAGCAAAUUAAAAAGAUAGUGCCACAAGAGGAAGAGACGACUAACUCUGUGCCAGCAGCCGCGGUAAAACAGAGGUCUCAAUCGUUGUUCGGAAUCACUGGGCGUAAUGCGUGCGUAGGCUGGUUCUUAAGUCGGGUGUGAAAGGUGCGGGCUCAACCCGCGAACGGCACAUGAUACUGCGAGACUAGAGUAAUGGAGGGGGAACCGGAAUUCUCGGUGUAGCAGUGAAAUGCGUAGAUAUCGCGAGGAACACUGGUGGCGAAGGCAGGUUCCUGGACAUUAACUGACGCUGAGGCACGAAGGCCAGGGGAGCGAAAGGGAUUAGAUACCCGUGUAGUC